UACGAAGGGGGCUAGCGUUGCUCGGAAUUACUGGGCGUAAAGCGCACGUAGGCGGAUUGUUAAGUCGGGGGUGAAAUCCUGGAGCUCAACUCCAGAACUGCCUUCGAAACUGGCGAUCUUGAGUCCGGGAGAGGUGAGUGGAACUGCGAGUGUAGAGGUGAAAUUCGUAGAUAUUCGCAAGAACACCAGUGGCGAAGGCGGCUCACUGGCCCGGUACUGACGCUGAGGUGCGAAAGCGUGGGGAGCGAACAGG
RNAcentral lists this ribosomal RNA (253 nucleotides) under uncultured bacterium. RNAcentral describes it as "partial 16S ribosomal RNA". It matches the Rfam family "Bacterial small subunit ribosomal RNA", at positions 524 to 776 of the family's 1533-position model. The record is from RNAcentral.